Molecule: long non-coding RNA, 14861 nt
Filed under: Sorghum bicolor (sorghum)
Lineage: Eukaryota; Viridiplantae; Streptophyta; Magnoliopsida; Poales; Poaceae
Description: long non-coding RNA (SBIC_LNC013599)
Rfam family: Small nucleolar RNA Z247 (bases 7106-7244)
Source: RNAcentral
GCAGAGGGCAGACAUCCCAUGCCUAUGCAAAAGGGUCACCCCGGAAGUAGAGAAGGUGUGGUGCAUGGAGAAGGUCGUGUAUGUCGCCAACUACUGCAAGAAGCCUUUUACACCUGGCUACAAGUGCGGGAGUAAGUUAACACUUAGCAUAUAUACAUACUGUUAUCCAAGUUGAUGCGGAUUAUUGUUGUAUGGUGUACAUGACUACUCCAAGCGUGACUGAUUUUGUAUAUUGGUUGGUUUUUGCAGGUUAUACGGUUCCUAAAAGCCUCUAAAUAGAGCAUUUGGACAUGCAUGGUACUCUAUACUGAAGCUUGCAUUUGAGAUUUGUAACAUGUGAGGGAGUGAGGGACUAUGUUGAGGAGAAUAAUGUGUAUCGAGUACUUUGUAUGAAAAGCGUUGGAGAAUUGAUAAUGUUUGGCUUUUAUCUUACUGCUUCCUUGGUCUUGCUUUUUUUAUGGAAGAAUUCUAUGUGAUACAACGUGGGGCUGCAUUAAUAAUUUACACUACUGCAUAAAUCAUGGAGGUGGGCAAAAAGGGUUAAUGGAGACGGGCAAUACAACAGCCUCCAAUUGAUGUCCUUGGUUAAUCGUCGAUUAACGGAGGCGGUUGCUUUGUAUGUCUUCGUAAAUCAAACAGAAAGAAUAAAAAACAAAAACACGUGAACAGGCCCGCCGAGCCCAUCCAUGGACUGCCGUUGCCGCAGCCAUUCACCGGAACCUAGAUUGCACGCACCGUCGGGAUCCGACCUCCCGCUGCCGGAUCAAGAUGCCCGCUGCCUGGAUCCGGCCUCCUGCUGCUGGAUCGAGACGCCACCGCCGUGAUCCGGCCUCCCACUGCCGAAUCAAGAUGCCUGCUGUUGGAUUUAGAGGUGGUGGGGAAGGGAGAGCAGCCCUCCGUCGGGUGGGGGAGCAACACGCCGCCGGGGCUAGCCACCACUGAGACACGUUCACACCGCCUCUGUCUGCACCACCGGGGCCACCUCUGUCCAUGCUUUGAGCUUGUCCCCUUGGCCUCUAGAUCAUCUCCGCUCGGCAUUACACUUAGAGCUCGUCCCGCAGGGGCUAGCCACGUCCACGUCGCCUGGGCCAGCCGCCCGCGUCAGCUAGGGCAAAGAGAGGGGAAGAGGGAGAGUGGUCGCUGGAGGGAGGGAGAGGGGUGUGCAGCUCAGUGGAGGGAGGGAGAGGAGCACGUGGCUCGGGAGGGAGAUCACCGUGCUUCAGACACUGAGGGAGCGAGGGGAGGUGCUGAGUGAGAGAGAGAUGAGUGAGGGAUUGGAGAUGGGCUAGGUUUUAUUUGAUAUAUAUACUAGGAUGUUGUUGUUGAGCCAAGAUGGGUUAAGAAGGACUAUGAGUUGGCUUGGGUACUCCAAAAAUGGCUUGAUCUUUGGAGAAGGCCCUCCACUAUAAAUCUAUUUUAGAAGGCAGUUACUUUGUUGCCUGCCUCUAUUAAUCGAUUUUACGAUUUUACAAGGCGGACAAAUGUGACUGCCUCGGUAAAUAAAAUUAACCACCUCCGUUAAUUAUAGCCUAGUAUUUUAGGAGGCGGUUGAAUUUUGUGCUCGUCUCCACUAAUAUUUGGGCACUGUCACCUAAAUUUUUUUUGUAUAGUAGUGUUACUACCUUCAUCCCAAUAUUAAUAAACUUAUAAAGGUGUCCUAAGCCAAACUAUUUUAAGUUUAACAAAAUUUUGUAGAAAAACACUAAUGUUUAUAACACAAAGUUGGUGUCAAAGCAAACAAAAUUAAUUAGGAUACAUAUUAUUAGUGAUUUUAACUCAUAGCAAAUAUGAUAUGAUGGUGUUGCAACAGAACAAAAACAUAAACUCUACUGCACGUUGUGUCGUGUGGUUACCACCAUGCUUGGACCUUUAGUCAUUGUCGACAAUCUUGUCAACCAGAUUUGCGUUUGCAAGGACCUGUUGUUGGCAUUGUUGAAAUCCUUCUUGCAGUCCCCGCAAAAAAAGAAAAAAGAAGAAAUCCUUCUUGCAGAGCUGUCGGUGUGUAGGACAAUGGCCCCUCUCUUCGCGAGCGCUGCUGCGUGGCAUCAAUGGCUACGGGGAAGUUGAUGUCGUUUGUGAUUUUGGCGCCCUUGUCAAGGUACGCGUUGAGAAAGAAGAGAUAUAUCUCUGGCAAUAAGCCGAGAAAGUCUAUGCGCGUAGAACCUAACAAAUUACAGCAUUGAUCAGUGUACCCACACUAGAUGCAUGCAUCAGGGUUGAUUAAAGACUGCUCUGGAUUGCUGGCACCAGAGAAUUCGAAGCAUUGCUGGCUCCUCCUCCGCGUGUGACACGCGUCACUAGAUGUUUUACAAAAAAGCCCUCUAUCUUUAGGAAAUCAACCCGCCGUCCAAUAUAUGAAUGAAUAUAUCAUUUCUACACAGUUAUCACAUUUUGCAGAAACCCCUUCAAAGCUUUUCAAAGAGCCCCCUGCAGCAGCGUCCCUAGCCCUAGGCGCUGCGCCCUGCGCCUCCUUCCCACUCCCUCUCUUUUUCUCUCUUCCCACCGCCGCCGCACCAUGUGCUUUCCAAUGCUCGCCCUUCUCGCUUCCGCCACUCAGAGCGUGUGGAUGUGUCCAAUUACUCAGUUAUGUUUGGCACACAAGCAGGGAGCCUCCGCGGCGCACACGCUUGUCUCCACCACCCCAAAGGCAGGCAGCCGGGCUCCCCGUUCGCAAUGAGAAGCAGCAUCUCACAUUCCUCUAGGCCCCAUCAACACCUCUUCCUCCAGAUCUGGCGUGAUGGUGAUGACGACUGCUUCCACCAAAUCCGAUUUAUGUCGUGUCCAUCUUGAACUCGUUGGUUUGGUAAGUGUCAUCCCUCCUACACGCAAUGCAUCCCUAUUCAAUCCAUCCAUCCUCUCUUUACCUCGAUUCUGAUCUAGGUGCUUCGAAUAUGGCGUGGAUCUAAAGGCAUGGCGUUCGGCUCCGGCGAGCUGCCUCAUAUGCGUCAGCGGUAGAGGAGCUCAUGAUGUGUUCGUGAGAUUCUGUGGAUCUUUGGACAUUAGUACUAUAUAAUGUCCUCUUUGUUUAGUCAAAAUAUUCUGGUGGACUAUGAGUUUCCCUACUCUAUAGCAUGCAUAGUAGAGAAUAUAUCUAAUACUGGCUAGGUUGUGCUUCUAUAUUUGUUUUGCUCCUGUUGUUCACCGGAUGUAUUUUUUGGCUUUAGUUUUAUGGCAUGUGUACAAAAGAUUUGUCAUAUUAUCUGGUUAUAUAUGUUUAUUAGUUGUAGUCUUGCCGCACUGUCCGAGUUCUAUGGAAAUUAAAUGCCUUGCUUCUAGAUUUCUAAUUUAUGUGAGUUGGAGAGAUGUGUCAGCUAGGUUUUACCUCACCGCUCAGAUGUGGUGGCUAAUAUUCUACUUUGACUUGCAGGAAAGGAAGAUAUCUUUGGUGUCAACUGCUGGGCAAAGCUUGAGAUUGGCUGACUACUGUUGUCUUCUGUUUGCAGCGUCCUCCAACCAUAGGUUCAGUUCCUUGUCUGCUGCAGCCCCUGCUUUAACGAUGGUUGUGUGCUUCAGAUGUAUUAUGAACCAAGCUCAGGUUUCAGGUUUUACUUUACUGAAACUUUCAGUUGCAUGUACGGUGUAGCUGAUUUUUUAUUCACAUUAAAUUUUAUGUGUGAUCAGUUUGCUGCACUAAUUAUAUAAACAUACUCUUAGAGAUAACUUGUGUUUGAUUAUGGAAUACUAAUUGAUAUAAUUAAUUUGGGAAUUUCAUAUCAAGAUUUCUCUUUGGAAGAAUGAAUAUCAGGAUUGUGGUAGCUUGAUUCGUUCACUUUUCUUUGCACUGUAGCACACUUGCACAUCCUCUGAUUUUUCUAUAGAUGCUAUUGAUGCCAUAGUUCCUACUUUAGACUGCUUCCUCACAAUUCAUCUAUAUAGCCUUCUUGAUCCACCCCCAAUGCUCUGCCCUUGGUUUAAGGAACUAAAUGAUAUCAUUGUGUAUGUAGCAUGCAUCGGCGAAAUUCAACUUAGAUAACACGUAAUGUUAUUUUUUUUGGGAUUAACGCAUUUCAUCUCUGCCAAAACAUAUGUUAGAAAAAAAUUCCCUAAGACAUUUAUGUGGAAGUUUAUAUCAUGAUCUAGCUGUUUGAAUUGAUGUUGCUUCCUAGCUUUACUUUGAUUUCAAUAAAGAAUAAUCAACAUGGUCAAUUAUUCUUUUGUUGGGAGAACACUACUACAUAAAAUAUUUUGCAUGACCAAGGGAGGCGGGCAGAUUUUUCAAAACAGCCUCGGAGGCGGGCAGAUUUUUCAACCGCGUCGGAUAAUGUCUCCGAUUAACCGAUUCUUAUUAACCGAGACGGUCAUAAAAAACCGCCUCGCAAAAUCGAUUUACCAAGGCGGUCACCUUAAGACAACCGUCUCCAAAAAUAGUAUAUUUUAGGAGGCGGUUGUCUUAUAACAACCGCCUUCGUAAAUCUAUUAACCGAGGCGGGCGCGCUAUACGGCCCGUUUGAGAAAAUAGUGGCCCAACAGGCAGCCCAUCUUAGCCCAGUAUCACUCAUCAUAUAUAAACGUAGAGCAAGGGUUUCUUCUCCCUCUCACUCCCUCCCUCAGACCAACGCCGGCCCCUUCCCCUCCCCUUCUCUCAUUAGAUCCAGCAGCGCCGGCCCCUUCCCCUCCCCUCCUCUCUAGAUUCAGCGGCUCCCCCUCCCGGCCUCCCCUCCCCUCCCCUUCUUUCCUACUCUCUUUGGAUUCAGCGGCGCACGAGGAUGGCCAUGGCCUAGGCCCACGCACGGGGGUCCUUCAAGGUGGCGCAUGGGGCGGCCAUGGAGCGGGGGCUCCUCCUGGCCGUGCGUGGGGCGGCCCAGCGCCUCCCGGCUGCAAUGCAGGGUGGCUCGACCAUCCUGGCAGCGUGGAGCAGCAGCGGUGGCGGCCAUGGCUCUGCUCGAUGCUCACGCGCCCAACGAUUCCUCCACCUCUAGGUCACACGUCGGCGGUCUCGGGGCUCGCGUAUCUGGCCUCGGUGCUCAUGGAUCCAGCGAGGUUGUCAGUGGCAACGAGUGACAACAACGGCCCGUGGAUGGGCUUGGCAGGUGACUUGAUGGGCUUGUCGGGCCUGUCUAUGGGUUUUCUAUUUUUUUGUUUUUUGUUUGAUUAACCGAGGCGGGCACUUUAACCGCCUCGGAAAAGGUUUCAUUUAGUGUGACCUUUCGUUCGAGGCGGUUGCAUUGUCCGCCUCGGUUAAUCAUUUUUGCCUGCCUCGGUUAAUUUUUUGUGUAGUAGUGAAAUCUAUAGUUCCUGCUCUUGGCAUAAUUAACCCAAGGUAAUCAGCAGUCUACUACUUUCCAUGCUUUGGGGCCUACAUAUGGGUCCAUGCUAGGCUGUCAGAGUUCACACUUAGCAAGAGCCAUACUAAGCCUAUGAACUAUCUGUAUCCCUUAUUAUGGCCCUGGGCCCUGUUGUUGGUCCUGGUGCAACAAGUUUUGUUAGACAUAGCUGUGAUUGUGUGUAUCUAUUAUUGUUUCCUAUUUCUGCACCUUGGAGUGGCAUUUUUUCUAACCCUCCCAUUGUAGCAAAACACAGCUAAUGGAGCAACACAUGGACCAGGAAGCAUGUUUUUUUAACGAUGGUGAUGGUAGUAAAACUAGAAUUUUCUUUUUGCCAUAGUCAGCAUUGCAUCAGAUAACUUGGAAGCAAAACUUCAUUAUACCAAUGCAGGUAUGUGCGCUAAGUGAAAUUUGAUGAAUUUACUAUCUUGAAUACUAAUAAGGUGUGCAGUUUUGUAGUUUGGACUUUCGCUGUGAGAGAUUAGUGAACUUGUUGCUGCAUGCCAGAUGUUUACAAGGUCGUUACACUGAUGACAGUAGAACCUGCAACUUGUCUAGCGUGUACUUUAUUUAGCUCGGAUGUACAGAGAAAAGCUUUGUCCGUAUAAGAUUAUGUAAUAUUACCCUCAACGAUAAACAAUGAACAAACAAUUGUGAAUGAGAAUUUGUUGACAAUGUCUAAAAUAAUGUUUUCCAUUUAAACUUAUUUAGAAAAAUGAACCAUUAUGAUUUAUCUUGCUAUCAAUGCAUGAAGCAAUUAUUUGAUCAACCUGAUGAAAUUGAGGCUAUGGAAGAGGAGUCACGCAAGGCAACCGGGUGCCAGAUGUGCUAAAAUUAAGGCUCUGAAGAGAAAUCACGGUAGGUUCGGGCGCCAGAUGUUCUAGUGCAAAUUAAAGCCGUAGGGAAGAAUAGCGUGUUUGCUAGCUGCUUGCCUGCUUGUGCUGCAGCUACAACAUGCUAGCUAGCUAGCGGACGAGUUUUCACUGAAGAUGUACACGUAAAAUUGUAGAUGUCGUGAUGCCUGCGGCCGUCGUCCACAUGUUGCAUGCAUGCACGGGCGAAGCCACGUUGAGGCCACUGGAUGCCGAGGCACCCACUGCAAAACUGUAACUACAUUAGAGUAACUCCUGUUAGAAUAUGUCAAUUGUAUCUAUAGGAUACUCUUCCAUAUAUGUACGAGUUGUAAUUGUAAUCUGUACAAACUCUUGUAUGUUCCCUAUAUAAUGAAAGCAUCGGGAGCCCCUGCUGGUUAUCCCGCUACUGCAUAUCUUUCUAUAUGGUAUCAGCCGCCUAAACUUUCCCAACGGAAAUCUCGAUCCAAUCUACCUCUCUCUACUCCAAUGGCGGCGCCGACCUCUUCUGCCACCGCUCCUCUCGCCUUUGGCCUUCUUCCUGUUGUUUCAGAGAAGCUUACCCGCGGCAAUUAUAACAUGUGGCACGCCACCGUAUCGUCCGCGCUCAAAGGGGCUCGCCUGGCGGGUUACAUCCUCAAGACCGCGGCGCCGCCCGCAGCGUUCAUCCAAGACGAGGCAUCCACCGUCGACGGCAAGAAGCCGGACCCGGCGCCCAAUCCGGCCUAUGAGAAGUGGGUGGCUGAGGAUCAAAUUGUUCUCAGCUAUCUCUUCUCAUCUCUCUCCAAAGAGAUCUUUGGCCAAGUUGCUACUGCAACAACUGCGGCAGAGUUGUGGGCCGCUAUUCAAGACCUCCAUGCUUCGCAAUCUCGUGCGCGCGUUAUUUCGACGCGGAUGGCUCUCGCCACGGCAACCAAGGGGACGUCAUCCGUGGCAGAAUUCUUUGUCAAGAUGAAGGGCCUUGCUGAUGAUAUGGCUUCAGCGGGUCGCAGGGUGGAAGAUGAAGAACUCGUGGCGUAUAUUCUCACAGGGCUUGGCGACGAGUUUGAGUCCGUUGUGUCUGCUGUCUCCACUCGUGUUGAGCCCAUCUCGGUCAAUGAGCUGUAUGCGCAGCUUGUGGCCUUCGAGCAGCGUAAGGAAAUCCAUGGAGGCGGAUUUCAAUCGUCUGCAAAUCUGGCCACUAAGGGUGGCCUUGGAGGGACUUCCUUCAAUCAAUCUCGUGGUCGCCAUGAUAGUGGUCGUGGUGGUUUUCAUCGCGGCAGUGGUGGCCGUGGCAAUGGUGGUGGCCGUGGAAACGGGUCUCAAGGAGGCAGCGGUAGUGGCCGCAAUUUUCAAUCUGGUGUAUUCUGCCAGCUUUGUGGCAAGGAGGGACACAUGGUCAUACGUUGCUUCAAGCGUUUCGACACCAACUUCACUGGACCACCACAAAAGAGUGCCUCUUCUGCAAACAUGGCGCCCUAUGGAGCAGAUACAAAUUGGUACAUCGACUAUGGUGCCACGGAUCACAUAACUGGCGACUUGGAAAAAUUAUCCUUCCGUGACAAAUAUCGUGGUGGAGAACAAGUACUUACUGCAAGUGGGGCAGGUAUGAAAAUUAAUCACAUUGGUCAUAGUACUUUGCAAUCCCCUAUUCGUGAUAUUCAUCUAAACAAUGUUCUUCAUGUUCCACAUGCAAAUAAAAGCCUUGUUUCUGCACAUCGUCUUGUUAAAGAUAACAAUACUUUGCUUGAACUUCAUCCACAACACUUUUCUCUUAAGGAACAGGUGACGAGGAAGACACUCCUCGAAGGAACAUGUGAGGAUGGUCUUUAUCCAUUGAAGCCUCAACCACCAGAUCAUUCUCCACCAAAUAAAUGAGUUCAAGGUCUUGGUGUUUUCAAGGCGUCUACUUCCUUGUGGCAUAGUCAUCUAGGUCAUGCGUCGUCACCUGUCGUUCAUAAAGUUCUUAGUCAUCAUAAGCUUCUGUUUUCCAAAGAAACAAAUAAUGGUGUAAUUUGUGAUGCAUGUCAGAUGGGCAAGAGUCACCAAUUGCUCUAUCCCAAAUUGAAUAGUGUUUCAUCUAAACCUUUUGAGCUUGUGUUUAGCGAUGUGUGGGGGCCGGCCCCAACCUCUGCUGGCCGUUAUUCUUACUAUGUGAGCUUUAUUGACGACUUUAGUAAGUUCACUUGGAUCUAUUUGCUUAAAUAUAAGUCUGAAGUUUUUCAGUGCUUUCGUGACUUCCAGAGCAUGGUUGAGCACCAAUUCAAUCAUAACAUACUCGCUGUCCAAUCCGAUUGGGGUGGGGAGUAUCAAUCCCUUCAUUCCUUCUUUAGUCGACUUGGUAUUGCUCACAUGUAUCCUGUCCCCAUGCACACCAACAAAAUGGGUCUGCUGAACACAAGCAUCGGCACAUAGUUGAAGUCGGCCUAUCCUUAUUAGCACAUGCAUCCAUGCCUCUUAAAUAUUGGGAUGAAGCUUUCCUGACUGCCGUUUUUCUCAUAAAUCGCCUUCCUUCCAAGGUCAUUGCCGAUGACACGCCAUAUGACCGUCUUCUUAAUAACCCACCAGAUUACUCCUUUCUUCGGACUUUUGGGUGUGCGGUAUGGCCCAACCUUCGACCAUACAACACAAAGAAGCUCGCUUUUCGAUCCCUCCGAUGCGUGUUUAUUGGGUACAGUAAUCUUCACAAGGGGUUCAAGUGUUUGGAUCCCAAAACUGGUCGUAUUUAUGUAUCCCGUGACGUUGUUUUUGAUGAAACUGUUUAUCCCUUCUCUCAGCUUCAUCCAAAUGCAGGAGCUCGCCUUCGCGCGGAGCUUGAUCUUCUUCCUGAUGUUCUUAAAAAUCCAUCACAUGAGUUUGGGACUGCUAAUGUACUUGAUCAAUGCAUGGUUAAUUCUAACCCCACUAAUGUUGUACCCAGUUCCUCCUCUGCUGUGGAUGUUACAGGUUUAAAUUCGAUGCAAAUCGGUGAAGGAACGAUGUCAAAUGAGCCAUAUUUCCUGACCGCAUCCAGCUUGGGGCAAAACGACACCAAUGGAGCUGAACCCAGUGUUGCUCCGUCUGAUCCUCGGACUGACUUGAUAGAGGGAUCUGCGUCGGGAUCGGAGAUAGAUCCUGUCUCCCUCGCGUGGACGACGCUGGCCCUGUCCUCGUCUGCCAUUUCAGGGAUUCCCGGAUCUUCUACGCCUUCAUCUACCGAGACUCCCACCUCCUCGUCGUCGCCAUCUGCCCCAUCAGAUCUGACCGGCUCCAACCCGCGUGAAUCUUCUGCGGGUGCUCUCGUGGACUCUGCAGUGCCUGACUCUUCCUCACCGCCAGCUGACUCUUCGCUUCCACAUCUCUAUGGCACCCGACUCCAGCGUGGUAUCACCAAACCGAAGCAGUACACUGAUGGUACAGUGCGUUGGCUCCUUCACAGUUCAGUCGAAGCAGCCGAGCCCAUCAGUAUCAAGGCUGCUUUGAGUGAUCAACGAUGGGUCUCUGCUAUGGACAAAGAGUAUAUGGCAUUGCUCGACAAUAAAACAUGGCAUCUUGUACCGGCACCUCGUGGCAAGAAUAUUAUCGGCAGUAAAUGGGUUUAUAAAGUGAAACGGAAAGCUGAUGGAACUAUUGAUCGCUACAAAGCUCAUCUUGUCGCUAAGGGAUAUAAACAACGCUAUGGGAUUGAUUAUGAAGAUACUUUCAGUCCGGUGGGCAAACCAUUCGCCUUGUUCUUUCUGUAGCAGUCUCUAAAGGUUGGUCUCUACGUCAACUUGAUGUUCAGAAUGCCUUUCUUCACGGUGUUCUUGAAGAAGAGGUCUAUAUGCGUCAGCCCCCAGGAUAUGAAGACAAGCAAUAUCCCAACUAUGUUUGCAAGCUGGAUAAGGCACUUUAUGGUCUUAAACAAGCCCCUCGUGCUUGGUACGCUCGUCUUUGUGGUAAACUUGUUCGGUUGGGGUUCACACCGUCCAAAGGUGAUACUUCUUUAUUCUUUUAUACAAAAGGAUCUGUCACUAUAUUUGUGUUGGUUUAUGUCGAUGACAUUAUUGUCGCAAGUUCUUCCGUGGAUGCAACACGAGCGUUGCUUCGAGAUCUUGAGGCUGAAUUUGCUUUGAAGGACCUUGGUGACCUUCACUAUUUUCUUGGGAUUGAGGUUAAACGUAACUCUGAUGGUUUGCUGUUGUCUCAACAACGAUAUGCUACUGAUGUGGUCAAGCGCGCGAAUAUGUGGCAUUGCAAACCGGUUGACACACCCAUUUCAGCUACUGAGAAACUGAGUCUCACUGAGGGAGAGGCUCUUGGAGAAGAAGAUUCUACUAAGUAUCGAAGUAUUGUUGGGGCACUUCAGUACUUAACACUUACCAGGCCAGAUUUGUCCUUUUCAGUGAAUAAAGUUUGUCAAUUUCUUCAUAAACCGGCAACAGUUCAUUGGGGUGCUGUCAAGCGGAUUAUUCGGUAUGUCAAAGGCACCUUGACAAUGGGUCUACAGCUUCGGCGAUCUACUUCUACAUUGGUCAGUGCUUUUUCUGACGCCGAUUGGGCUGGUUGUGUUGAUGAUCGGCAGUCAACAGGCGGAUUUGCUGUGUUUUUUGGUCCAAACCUUGUGUCAUGGAGUGCUAGGAAACAACCUACAGUUUCUCGUUCUAGCACUGAGGUGGAAUACAAGGCGUUGGCCAAUGCUACUGCAGAGAUGAUGUGGAUUCAAAGGUUAUUAACAGAACUUGGAAUAUCCCACUCUCCUGUUGCGCGAUUAUGGUGUGACAACAUCGGUGAGAAAUACUUGUCUGCGAAUCCAGUCUUUCAUGCCCGAACAAAGCAUAUUGAGAUUGAUUUUCAUUUUGUUCGUGAAAGAGUAGCUCAGAAGUUGCUGGAUAUACGUUUUAUUAGCACGAGUGAUCAGGUCACUGAUGGUUUUACUAAACCAGUUUCAGCAGCAAAACUGAAGGAGUUUAGAUUCAAUCUCAACCUUGUUAGUGGCUGAGAUUGAGGGAGGAUGUUAGAAUAUGUCAAUUGUAUCUAUAGGAUACUCUUCCAUAUAUGUACGAGUUGUAAUUGUAAUCUGUACAAACUCUUGUAUGUUCCCUAUAUAAUGAAAGCAUCGGGAGCCCCUGCUGGUUAUCCCGCUACUGCAUAUCUUUCUAUAACUCCAACAGUUUUGCAAAUUUUAUUUGGCAAAUGUUGUUAUUUACCAAACGAUAUGGGGAGGAAACAAUGGGCAUCUCCAAGUGUUUGAUAAUUUUGAUGUGGCAAAAAAAAAUUCUGCUGGUUCCGGAGAUCAACAAAGAAGCAUCAGGUUGUCAGCUUUCUAUAAAAGCUCGUGCAUGCAGUAUGCCAAGUCUAUUCCAGACGCGCAUAAAUGCCUAGAAAAAAGAGGAGAAUUUGCCAACUUGCUAUAAAUGCCAAGCUCAAUUGCCAAACUGUUGGAUAGGAGAUUUUGAGAGUUUUAACCAAAAAAAUAAGAAUGUCAAACCUAAUUGCAAAACUGUUGGAGUUGAGGAGCAAAUUUUCAACCUUUGUGCACCCCCCAUGUCCAAAAGAAGGCACCCUCCACCGGCCCAAGCCCAUGUGCCAUGUCGCAUGUAGCUUCCAGGAGAAGGAUGCCAAUAUGCAUGGGAAAUUUUGUCAUGCCCGUGGCCACGUGCGAGUCAGCGAGGGCAAGGAGGCCGCGGCGUUUCAUAUGCCGCAGCAAGCCAGCGACGCAACUACGCAAGGGCGGCAAGGCACCAAGCCACCAAAUUCCGCUCCCCUUCCCCUUCCCGGCUUCCCCGUCAUUGACUCGUCGAGCCAAGCUGAGCGCCUAACGGCUGCGGCAGCCGAUGUGAGCACCUCAUCCUUAAAGCCUCUCUGUUCUAGACUUUUGGUCCAAAAGUAAAGCCAAGGAAUCAAACCCUCAAUUCAUUUAUCUUGUAUUUGGUGCAAGAAGUAUGCAUGCUCCAAAGACCUUAUAAUUAGUAGUCACUUCCCAUGUUUUGGGUUUGGUGUUUUUUCAUACAUUAGUCCACCUGUGAAUGGUCAUAGUUCAUUGGUUUUUGAGACCUCAAUUUCUAGUGCUUAUUUAUAUAUCUACCAUUCUUCAUAAUAUAACUUUCUUUGGAUUCUUGCUUGUGUUAGUUCUCACUACCACAAUAAUCUUAACAAUGGCGGACAUUUUGGAUUUUAGGAGGCGGGCAAAAGAAACCCCUCUGAUGAAAGGUCACAUCAUCGACCAUUAUCCGAGGCGGUUUCAUGCAUGCCUCACUUAAUCAAAUAAAAAUAAAAAAGGAAAACCCUGGAUGAGCCCACCAAGCCCUUAUCUAGGGCCCGCCGAGCCCAUCCAUGUGCAGUGCCCGCUGCUCGCCGAUGCGCCUGCUCGUGGAGGAAGGUCCAUGCUGCCACCGAAUCCAUAGAUUUGUGUGAGGAUGAGGUUACCGCUGGAUCCACGUGGGGAGGGCCGCUGCCACGCGCGCCACGCCGCCGUUCGGCGUGGCCGGCUCGUGCACCGGCCCACAGCGCCGCUAGGCGCAGCCAGCCGACCAUGCCCCACUGCGUGCAGCUUGUAGUUGGCGACAAGGGGACGAGAGGUGCCCGUCGGGAUGGGAGGGGCGUCGGGAUGGGAGGCAAGGGGAGGGGGCCGCCGAGAUGGGAGGGAAGGGGAGGGGAGCACCGGAUAUAUACUCCGUGUGAUAUAUGAGGCCAGGACGGGUCGAGAUGGGUUAUUUGGACUCUAAGAUGGGCCACUAUUACCCGAGGCGGGCCUUCUAAAAUAACCGUCUCGGUUAAUGAUUUACCAAGGUGGUUGCAUUAUAAUAACCAAGGUAAAUAUGUAAUAACCGAGGCAGUUAUAUUACAUUGCCCGCCUCGGUAAAUAGGCAGAUGGAAAUUUUGCCUGCCUCCGAGACCCAUUCUAAAACGCCACGCAAAAGAUUUUUUGUAGUAGUGUCUAGAUUCGUAUGUAGGGAUUAGCGUUCUAGCUAGGCAAGGUCAACUAGGUAGUGACAUGGUAUAACUAGAGCAGACGUGAAUGUUGUAUGGUUUGGAUGAUCUAAAGCCUGAUUGUUGUGUCAAGUCUCCCAAAUUGGCAUUUGUUCCCACACGACGCAAGAUACAGAACUCCGUAUUAGUGUUUUCACCUUCAUCCCCUAGUCCACCAAAACAUUUUGUUUUCCCCUAUCAUCCUACAACCAUUUGUGCCAUAGACGUGGCUUAAUUAAGGUUUAGAGUCCGCCGUACGUGUUGAAGUUAUUUUCAUUGGACAUGAUGUUGCUGUUGGUGUAGCUCGUGUUUGAUUCCAGUUUGUGUGAUCCCUCUGCUCUUUUCCAUCAACUCUAAAGGCACCACCAAAAAUCUAGUAUCUUGUGCCUAAAAGCCCUUAUUCAGGCCAGACAAACUCAAAACAAGGCAAAUUUUAGAGUUUCAGAGAAUGUUGGAAAAUUAUAUAAUACAAUUAAAUACUAUAUGUAGUAACCCAUAGAUAUAAUGUCUUGUCUCCCAGAUGCAUAAGGACAUAGCAUAAUACCUCCAGCACACAUAUAUGCAACAUAUUAUCUAUCCAAUAGAAGUUUAAUAAUACAAUUAAAUACUAUAUGUAGUCCCUAGGGGAUAGAAUUCAAUAUCUCCUAUAUGCAUGAGGAGUAAGCAAUAUAUCUCUAACAGACAUGCAGCGUAUCAUCUAUCUAAUAGAAUAUAUAUAUAUAUAUAUAUAUAUAUAUAUAUAUAUAUAUAUAUAUAUAUAUAUAAUACUAUAUGUAGUACCGAAUAGAUAUAAUGUCCUAUAUCCUAGAUGCAUAAGGACAUAGCAUAAUAUCUCCAGCACCCAUGUAUGUAAAAGGAGUUUAAUAAUACAAUUAAAUACUAUGUGUAGUCCCUAGUGGAUAGAAUUCAUUAUAUCCUAUAUAUAUGCAUGAGGAGUAAGCAAUAUGUCUCUAACAGACACGCAACGUAUUAUCUAUCUAAUAGUAAUUAUUUAAUAAAGUUAAACUAUAUCCUGCAACUAUUAUAUAGAGUCCAAUAUCUCUUAGAUUCAUGGGACUAAGCAUAUUAUCUCCAAGAAUCAACGUAUUACCUAUGUGUAGAAAUUAUAUAAUACAAUUAAAUAUUAUAUGAAGUACCUAGUGGAUAGAAUUCAAUGUCAUUUGCCAAUUUUAUAUUUGGUCCAUUCUCAUCUUCAUCGACGUCUAUACCUAUAUAUAAGCCUAGCCAUCCCCACUGGAAGUUCUCACAUGUCACACCUAAACCACACAUCUUUUGCUUUGUCGAAAUUCAAUCAGGAGCUGAAGGAGGGGUCGGGCUUGCUAUUAAAUCAAACCAUAAAACACAAGCUAUAACCAUGGCAAAACUACUCUUGGGUUUGCUCCUUGUCCUUGUCAUUAUAGGGACAACGUCGGCUGAUAACUGUGCUAAAGAUGCAGAUGCCAUGAAGCAGGAGUGCAAGAAGUUCGAGGUGUUCCCUGCAAACCCAAAGUUGAAACCGUCUCCGGCAUGCUGCGCUGUGUGGCAGAGGGCGGACAUCCCAUGCCUACGCAAAAGGGUCACACCGGAAAUAGAGAAGGUGUGGUGCAUGGAGAAGGUCGUGUACGUCGCCAACUACCAAACUUGCAAGCGGCGCGGCGACGGACAGCCCGUCCCAUGUCCGCGUAAACCGCAAGCUAGCUGGCGGGCAAAGGCGGCGGCCCGCACUGGACCGUUUGCUUUUUGCGGGUUACUUUGGCGGCCCGCACUGUGCCGUUUCCCACCAAGCAGGCGGAGCCGCGAGCGAACGUGGCAGUUCAGCCGUUCAGGUCCAGUCUCCAGUCCAGUACACUACACUCCC